AUUGAACGCUGGCGGCAGGCCUAACACAUGCAAGUCGAACGGUAGCACAGAGAGCUUGCUCUAGGGUGACGAGUGGCGGACGGGUGAGUAACGUCUGGGAAACUGCCCGAUGGCGGGGGAUAACUACUGGAAACGGUAGCUAAUACCGCAUAACGUCGAAAGACCAAAGUGGGGGACCUUCGGGCCUCACACCAUCGGAAUUGCCCAGAAGGGAUUAGCUAGUAGGUGGGGUAAUGGCUCACCGAGGCGACGAUCCCUAGGUGGUCUGAGAGGAUGACCAGCCACACUGGAACUGAGACACGGUCCAGACUCCUACGGGAGGCAGCAAUGGGGAAUAUUGCACAAUGGGCGCAAGCCUGAUGCAGCCAUGCCGCGUGUAUGAAGAAGGCCUUCGGGUUGUAAAGUACUUUCAGCGGGGAGGAAGGCGGUGAAGUUAAUAGCUUCACAGAUUGACGUUACCCGCAGAAGAAGCACCGGCUAACUCCGUGCCAGCCGCCGCGGUAA
RNAcentral lists this ribosomal RNA (504 nucleotides) under uncultured bacterium. RNAcentral describes it as "partial 16S ribosomal RNA". It matches the Rfam family "Bacterial small subunit ribosomal RNA", at positions 29 to 523 of the family's 1533-position model. The record is from RNAcentral.